Molecule: ribosomal RNA, 1422 nt
Filed under: Escherichia coli
Lineage: Bacteria; Pseudomonadati; Pseudomonadota; Gammaproteobacteria; Enterobacterales; Enterobacteriaceae
Description: partial 23S ribosomal RNA
Rfam family: Bacterial large subunit ribosomal RNA
Source: RNAcentral
UUUCCAGGCAAAUCCGGAAAAUCAAGGCUGAGGCGUGAUGACGAGGCACUACGGUGCUGAAGCGACAAAUGCCCUGCUUCCAGGAAAAGCCUCUAAGCAUCAGGUAACAUCAAAUCGUACCCCAAACCGACACAGGUGGUCAGGUAGAGAAUACCAAGGCGCUUGAGAGAACUCGGGUGAAGGAACUAGGCAAAAUGGUGCCGUAACUUCGGGAGAAGGCACGCUGAUAUGUAGGUGAAGCGACUUGCUCGUGGAGCUGAAAUCAGUCGAAGAUACCAGCUGGCUGCAACUGUUUAUUAAAAACACAGCACUGUGCAAACACGAAAGUGGACGUAUACGGUGUGACGCCUGCCCGGUGCCGGAAGGUUAAUUGAUGGGGUUAGCGGUAACGCGAAGCUCUUGAUCGAAGCCCCGGUAAACGGCGGCCGUAACUAUAACGGUCCUAAGGUAGCGAAAUUCCUUGUCGGGUAAGUUCCGACCUGCACGAAUGGCGUAAUGAUGGCCAGGCUGUCUCCACCCGAGACUCAGUGAAAUUGAACUCGCUGUGAAGAUGCAGUGUACCCGCGGCAAGACGGAAAGACCCCGUGAACCUUUACUAUAGCUUGACACUGAACAUUGAGCCUUGAUGUGUAGGAUAGGUGGGAGGCUUUGAAGUGUGGACGCCAGUCUGCAUGGAGCCGACCUUGAAAUACCACCCUUUAAUGUUUGAUGUUCUAACGUGGGCCCCUUACCGGGGUUGCGGACAGUGUCUGGUGGGUAGUUUGACUGGGGCGGUCUCCUCCUAAAGAGUAACGGAGGAGCACGAAGGUUGGCUAAUCCUGGUCGGACAUCAGGAGGUUAGUGCAAUGGCAUAAGCCAGCUUGACUGCGAGCGUGACGGCGCGAGCAGGUGCGAAAGCAGGUCAUAGUGAUCCGGUGGUUCUGAAUGGAAGGGCCAUCGCUCAACGGAUAAAAGGUACUCCGGGGAUAACAGGCUGAUACCGCCCAAGAGUUCAUAUCGACGGCGGUGUUUGGCACCUCGAUGUCGGCUCAUCACAUCCUGGGGCUGAAGUAGGUCCCAAGGGUAUGGCUGUUCGCCAUUUAAAGUGGUACGCGAGCUGGGUUUAGAACGUCGUGAGACAGUUCGGUCCCUAUCUGCCGUGGGCGCUGGAGAACUGAGGGGGGCUGCUCCUAGUACGAGAGGACCGGAGUGGACGCAUCACUGGUGUUCGGGUUGUCAUGCCAAUGGCACUGCCCGGUAGCUAAAUGCGGAAGAGAUAAGUGCUGAAAGCAUCUAAGCACGAAACUUGCCCCGAGAUGAGUUCUCCCUGACUCCUUGAGAGUCCUGAAGGAACGUUGAAGACGACGACGUUGAUAGGCCGGGUGUGUAAGCGCAGCGAUGCGUUGAGCUAACCGGUACUAAUGAACCGUGAGGCUUAACCUU